CCUACGGGAGGCAGCAGUGAGGAAUAUUGGUCAAUGGACGAGAGUCUGAACCAGCCAAGUAGCGUGAAGGAUGACUGCCCUAUGGGUUGUAAACUUCUUUUAUAUGGGAAUAAAAUGUGGCACGUGUGGGAUUUUGUAUGUACCAUAUGAAUAAGGAUCGGCUAACUCCGUGCCAGCAGCCGCGGUAAUACGGAGGAGCCGAGCGUUAUCCGGAUUUAUUGGGUUUAAAGGGAGCGUAGUUGGGUUGUUAAGUCAGUUGGGAAAGUUUGCGGCUCAACCGUAAAAUUGCAGUUGAUACUGGCAGUCUUGAUUACAGUUGAGGUAGGCGGACUUCGUGGUGUCGCGGUGACAUGCUUAGCGCUC
Molecule: ribosomal RNA, 363 nt
Filed under: uncultured bacterium
Lineage: Bacteria
Description: partial 16S ribosomal RNA
Rfam family: Bacterial small subunit ribosomal RNA
Source: RNAcentral